UCUGGAUAAGGCAGGACUGCGGGUGUUUCUGACCCAGAACACACUUAUGUCAAAUAUAUGUCCCAGUUUCUCAUCUAUGAGCCUCUGGUUCUACCUCCAAACAUCCCUCAGACUGAGUGAAAAAUUUAGACUGUAACUGUGUGUAUACUUUAUUACAGAAUUAAACAGCUCUUAACAAGCAUGUAAUAAAAUGCCUUAUUUCACCCCUUGGAUAUCCUAGAUCCUGUGCUGUUUUGGUUUGAUUUGCUUUAGCUUCCCAUAACAUGUGGAAGUUCUCAAGCCAGGGAUCAAACUGCACCACAGCAGUAACCAGAGCCACAGCAGUGACAAUGCUGGAUUCUUAACCCACUAAACUGCCAGGGAACUCCCCUAUAUCCUGACUUAUAAUAGAAAGCACAUACUCUACUUUGUGAUGCUUGAAACUCUGAGCCAGACAGUAAUAUACAGCUAAUACGCUGAUAUGGCAUAUGUGUUAAAUAAUUCAAAUUCAAGAAAAAUUAAAGAAAAUUAUUGAAAAUAAGUAUGUGCAGCUUGUUUACCCUCUUGUAUACAUGCAGCAAACAAGAGAAAUAGUUGCCUUCAGCUGAACCGUGAAUUUAUCACUUCUGUCACUUGCCAAAGAAGACUAUUUACUAAAAUAAAUACAGGAGUGAUGUCAGUGGUAACAGAAAUUAAAAUUUUAUGUUCCUACUUUUCAUAGCAACCUUAAAUCCCUUUAAGGAUAAAUAAGGAGCACGUUGUACUUGAACAACUAGGUGGCACUGGUGCGUUAUGCUUUCAGUCCUGGAGAAGUAAAUUCAGAAAGCAUACUCUAUUCCAGUUCAGUGGUCUAACAUCCGCAUGAACGUCAGCUGCACAUUUGGGCAGUAAUUUCGCAGCGACUCAUGAAUGAAUGUCAGAAGCACUGUCGGUCUUUACAGAACAUUUGCUGCUCCCCAGCCUCCCCUUGGCAAUAACUUCAAGCGUUUUUGGUGGAUAUAGAUUUUUGCUGCAAGGAAAUAACAGUAAGUGCUUAUGUAUAUGCAAUGACUUUUUAAAAACUACAACAUCUUAAUGUUUGGAACUCCAUUAUGCUUAAAUGCAUGAGAAAAGUUAAUACGAUUAUUUAAAUUUACCCUAUCAUUUUGCAAUUGUGAUAACCUGUAUUCACUCUAAUGAUAUUUUCCAUAGAGUUUUAAUAGAUUAAUGCUAAGUCAUUUUAAUAAUGAAGAAAUCUAGACCCAUAGCCAAGUCUUUAUUUUGUCCAGUGUGUUUAUGUCAGUCUUGCUAUGGAAAUUUCCCUUAUGCAUUUAUGACAUUGAUUAUCACUGAUGAGCUGAUUUGCAGAGUCUGUUUUAUUUGACAAUUGAUUCUUAAUUUUUGGAUUGUGGGACAUUUAUUUUGCAUUAAUAACUUCUUUUGGAGCAAAUCACAUUCAUCUCUUGUAAUGAUGCAUUUUAAAUUGCUUUCAUACAUAUGUGGGUCAUUAACUCUUAUAUUCAUCUCACGAAAGGUAAGAGAGGGACCUAUUUCUUCUGGUUAGAGUAAAUAGUAAAUGCAAAAUGGAGCAACUUCUCAGUUCUUCUGCAUAAUGUUUUUCAUAAUGGUUUAAAUAUAUGCGUUUAUUUCAAAUGCAAGCAUAAGUAACUUUUGUUUUACCUGCCAGCCUCGGUUAUCUUGUGCCUUCCUUUACAUUAAUGUAAUUACUUGGGAAUUAUCUCUAUUCCAAAUUGAAUAGGGAAAUAUCAGCUUGCUGCAGGCUCUGUGCUCAUCCAGGAAUUAAAGUAAUUUAAGAUACGAGGUUUUAAAUGGAAACUUUAUUUGUAAGGAGAAGACGUCAUUCACUGCCAGAGGUAUCCAUCUCACUGAAACUUCCAGAGAAAAAAAUGCACUCCAGAUUUUGAAUUUUUGAUUUUCUAAAUAGUUCAAGUCCUGGUAUCUUUCUGCUUAGAUGAAUCUCUAGUGUGUUUUGUGACCUGCACCAUUUCUUGGCUUCUCUUCCUCACUGAUCCCAUUUCCACGGCAUCUUCCUCACUUACCAUUGAGCUGUUUGGCAACACCUCUGUUGAUGUAUGCUCCUUGGGCAAUUACGGGUCUUCCUUGAGUACAAGACAUGAAAUGUUAUUUUAUAGAGUAGAUAAUGAUUAUACUUAUAAAAUUCCUGCAAGGCUGAUUCAGAGAUAUGCUGCACUGUAAAAUAAAUUAUUUUCUAUUUUGGAGAUUCCA
This 2205-nucleotide long non-coding RNA is filed under the name Sus scrofa (pig). Its description in RNAcentral is "lncRNA (ENSSSCG00035008271.1)". The record is from RNAcentral. Lineage: Eukaryota; Metazoa; Chordata; Mammalia; Artiodactyla; Suidae.